RNAcentral lists this ribosomal RNA (485 nucleotides) under uncultured bacterium. RNAcentral's name for it is "bacterial SSU rRNA". It matches the Rfam family "Bacterial small subunit ribosomal RNA", at positions 29 to 507 of the family's 1533-position model. The record is from RNAcentral.
AUGAACGCUAGCGGCAGGCUUAAUACAUGCAAGUCGUGGGGCAGCAUGAGUAGCAAUACUUGAUGGCGACCGGCAAACGGGUGAGGAACACGUACACAACCUUCCUUCAAGCGGGGAAUAGCCCAGAGAAAUUUGGAUUAAUACCCCAUAAUAUAUUGAUAAGGCAUCUUAUUAAUAUUAAAAGCUUCGGCACCUUGAUGAUGGGUGUGCGGCUGAUUAGAUAGUUGGCGGGGUAACGGGCCCACCAAGUCUACGAUCAGUAGCUGAUGUGAGAGCAUGAUCAGCCACACGGGCACUGAGACACGGGCCCGACUCCUACGGGAGGCAGCAGUAAGGAAUAUUGGACAAUGGACGAAAGUCUGAUCCAGCCAUGCCGCGUGAAGGAUUAAGGUCCUCUGGAUUGUAAACUUCUUUUAUAUGGGACGAAAAAGGGCAUUCUUGUUCACUUGACGGUACCAUAUGAAUAAGCACCGGCUAACUCCGUG